UACGGAGGGUGCAAGCGUUAGUCGGAAUUACUGGGUGUAAAGGGCGCGUAGGCGGGGAGGUCAGUCAGCUGUGAAAUCCCGGAGCUCAACUCCGGAACGGCAUCUGAUACUGCUUCUCUCGAGGAUAAGCGGAGGAAACGGAAUUCCACGUGUAGCGGUGAAAUGCGUAGAUAUGUGGAAGAACACCCGUGGCGAAAGCGGUUUUCUAGCUUAUACCUGACGCUGAGGCGCGAAAGCAAGGGGAGCAAACAGG
Molecule: ribosomal RNA, 253 nt
Filed under: uncultured bacterium
Lineage: Bacteria
Description: partial 16S ribosomal RNA
Rfam family: Bacterial small subunit ribosomal RNA
Source: RNAcentral